UAUACUGGCAUGAACACGCAGACAUUAUCACAAAACACAAACUGGACAUAAAAAUUACAAAUUCACAAAACAAAACAACUGGCUUCUACUUCCUUUGUCGAUAUGCUGAGUCAUGCUGUAUAUCACACAGAUAAUCAUGGCAGGCACUUGUUCCCAUGCCAACUAUAUGCAAAUAUAUUUAUAUUAGAUGAAAAGAAAAAUUCCCAUCUGCAUAUUGCGUGUCCUGCUGUAAUAGGUUUGCUUGUCUCAAAGGGGAUGUUCAAGUAUAUAAAUAAAGUUCUUUCCAAAAGAAAAACACUGAGCAUGUUCAAAAGACGCAAGACACAUCACCUUUAAGAAAACAUCUCUGCAUUCAUCAUCCAUAACUGCUUAUCCAGUAGAGGGUUGCAGUGGUUGCUUGGAGCCAACCCAGGAAGCCCAGGACACAAGGCAGAGAUACACCCUGGAAAGGACGCCAGCCAGUUGCAGGGCCUAAUAAGACAACAGCACUAUGCUGUUUUAUUUUGCUGUUGCUUUGUGACAGAGAAAUGAACAUUUCACUAGAACUGGAAACAUACCAGUACUGCUAUCCAGCAGCUAAUGGGACGUGUGUUAAAAGUGGCUACUCUGGAUUUGCCAGGUUUGCCUUGUACAUGUUUUUUCUGUCAGGGAUGACCGUGACCAUCACGGGAAACCUGGUGAUCAUCAUCUCCAUCGCGCACUUCAAGCAGCUGCACACACCGACCAACAUGCUGGUGAUGUCACUGGCCCUGGCCGACCUGCUUCUGGGGGCCGUCGUGAUGCCCUUCAGCAUGAUCAGAUCGGUGGAGGGCUGCUGGUACUUUGGAGAUACUUUCUGCUCGUUGCACUCCACUUUCUACAUGUUCCUCACAUCCGUGUCAAUCUUUCAUCUGAUUUCCAUUGCGGUUGAUCGAUACCAGGCAGUUUGCAAUCCUCUGCGGUACCAUAACACAGUGACCAUUCCUGUGGCUUGGCUGAUGGUAGCGUUGAGUUGGGCUGCAGCUGCUUCUUACUCCUACAGUCUCCUUUAUUCUAAGGCUAAUGUGAUGGGCCUAGAUGAAUACAUCACUUCCAUUAAUUGCUUGGGGAGUUGCACUUUUCUGUUCAAUACGCUGUGGAGUACCCUAGACUCUCUGAUUGGAUUUUUCCUACCAUGUUCAGUAAUGAUUGGCCUUUACGUUAAAAUAUUUCUGGUAGCCAGACAACACAUCAGGCAGCUUGGAGGUACAAGUCAGCAGCCAUGUUUUACAGAGGGACAUGGCAACAGGAAAUCUCACAGCUCAGAGCGAAAGGCUGCAAAGACCCUUGGCAUUGUUGUAGGUGGCUUCAUACUCUGCUGGAUGCCUUUGUUUCUCAAUUCCACGCUCAACCCCUAUACCGACUUUGCAACUCCUCCUGUUCUUUAUGAAGGUUUUGUCUGGCUGGGUUAUUUUAAUUCCGCGUUAAAUCCUAUAAUCUACGGACUGUUUUAUCCGUGGUUUCAAAGGUCAUUGAAACUCAUUAUAUCUUUAAAGAUUUUUGCUGCACAUUCUUCAAAUACAAAAGUUUUCCGUGAAAGUUGAGUUUUCAUAGAUUCACCACAUAAUUCAGUUUCAUAUUACCAUAAAAACAUACAUCAUGUACUGAAUGUCCUGUAUUAAAAAAGCAGAAAUAGCUGUUUGAUUUUUUAUUUUUAUUUUUUUUGCAUUUUUAUUCUGGAUUUGUUUUUGAAAACUUUACACAAUAAGGUGAAGUGACUCUUAUCUCUCAAGCACUUUGAAAAAUAUUUGUUAAUCGAAUUCUGUGUUUUGCACCUUAACAAUAAUUUUAAAUUUUUCCUGCACUCUAAAGUGCACAGACUGUCACUUAGCUAAGAGCCACUAAGCUGAGCCUAAAUUAACAUAGAAAACAAAGCAAAUCACCAGCACUGAAGACAUCACACAAGAGGCCUACAGUCAUAAAAAGAGCAAACUAAUGGAUUAUUUAAUUUUUGAUUGCAGUAAACCGAGAAUUCCAAGUCAACAUUUAGUGUAAUUCAAGGGUUGGAAAGUUACACCCAUGAUGUCGUGGUUCCCUAUCAGUCCUUCACCUACAUCACCUGGCCCCUGUUUUUCUCAGUUUGUUUUUCAUAAGUCUCUUAAUAGAUGAAAACUACAGUCAGAUUUCAUGUUUUAUCUUCGCUAGGCCUUCAGACCUUCAGUACCACGAGCUUCUCUAACAGCUCAUCCCCCAUGAAGGAUGUACACAGAGAAACUCCCCACACUCAUUUCUGCCUCUCUGCACCUGGUCCUACCUUCCCUGCUCUCAGCACAUGCAAGAGGUCAGGCUGUAGCAUCACCUGCGCUCUGUGUAAUCUCUGUAUUGCCACCUUUGAUUGGGAGGCAGCUUGCUGCUAACUGGGCCCUUUGCUUCUGACGUUUACAUCACGCUUAGGUAAUACAGCAGCCCCCCCAGGACUGGAGUGGGGCCGUCUCAGCACAUUAAUCAAACAUUCAGUCUUUCUUCCUCUAAACAGUCACAGUAGGAAUCGUAGAGUGAAAGAUAAAACAUCCAUAGUAUUUGCUGACUUCUAAUGUUACCCAGUCUGAUCCUAUGAAAUGUACCUUAACCAUCUUCCUGGUGUUAUAAAAGGUAUGAAAUACAUUAAAACACAGAAAAUGAAGUAGCAAUGAAGUACUUCAGCGUAUCUUCAGGUUCUGUGGUUUUAUUCCGACUUCACACAUCAAAUCAGAAAUAUUACAGGCUAAACUGAACCUGGCAACCCGGCUUCUUGUUAAUAUGAUCUGGUAACAUGACAAAAAUAAGACUUUAUAUUUGACAUUUUUAUUAAGAAUACUGUGAUUACAGUGGUAUGAUUACUCUCCCAGUCAGGCCUCUGAUGGUACCGUAUGAUUGCAGUAGACUGGGCUUAAAAAUCAGGAAAAUACCCAGUAUGCCAGACGGCCUGUCCAGCUCUGCUCCCAGUCGUGGUCUCAGGUUCCGAACCCGCUAAGCUGCACUCUGCACUCGGAUAACUGGCAUCCCUGUAUUGCCAGCAGUGCAUGACUGUGUAUGUGCCCUGUAAUGAACUCACAUCCCGCCCAGAGUGUACCCCAGCCUUGUGCAUGCGCUGCCUGCGAUAGGCUCCAGGCCCCUGGUGACCCUGACCAGGAGUGUGGAAGAUAGAUUAAUGAUUAUUUAUCGCCCCCUACUGGCUACUGAGUAAUACUAUAUUGUCAAAACCUAAUUUUAAUAGUACAUGACUUUCAAGUAUGCUAACUU
Brienomyrus brachyistius is the source of this 3240-nucleotide RNA transcript. It is a transcript of the gene named trace amine-associated receptor 13c-like, with no coding region annotated. Lineage: Eukaryota; Metazoa; Chordata; Actinopteri; Osteoglossiformes; Mormyridae. The transcript has 2 exons. The record is from RefSeq and is a predicted model, not a curated record.